AUUGAACGCUGGCGGCAUGCUUUACACAUGCAAGUCGAGCGGUAACAGCACUUCGGUGGCUGACGAGUGGCGAACGGGUGAGUAAUACAUCGGAACGUGCCUAGUAGUGGGGGAUAACUACUCGAAAGAGUAGCUAAUACCGCAUGAGAUCUAAGGAUGAAAGCAGGGGACCUUCGGGCCUUGCGCUACUAGAGCGGCUGAUGGCAGAUUAGGUAGUUGGUGGGAUAAAAGCUUACCAAGCCGACGAUCUGUAGCUGGUCUGAGAGGACGACCAGCCACACUGGGAGUGAGACACGGCCCAGACUCCUACGGGAGGCAGCAGUGGGGAAUUUUGGACGAUGGACGCAAGCCUGAUCCAGCAAUGCCGCGUGCAGGAUGAAGGCCUUCGGGUUGGAAACUGCUUUUGUAAGGAACGAAAAGCCCUCUUCUAAUACAGGAGGGUCAUGACGGUACCGUAAGAAUAAGCACCGGCUAAAUACGUG
Molecule: ribosomal RNA, 482 nt
Filed under: uncultured bacterium
Lineage: Bacteria
Description: partial 16S ribosomal RNA
Rfam family: Bacterial small subunit ribosomal RNA
Source: RNAcentral